Molecule: long non-coding RNA, 4272 nt
Organism: Ruditapes philippinarum (Manila clam)
Lineage: Eukaryota; Metazoa; Mollusca; Bivalvia; Venerida; Veneridae
Exons: 4
Source: RefSeq, a predicted model, not a curated record
GUGGACAAGACUAUCAGUUCUUCGAGAGUUCCAGUGCCUAUAUACUCGCAAGAAGGAUAUGGUAUGGAAUAGCUUAAAGUACAUCUAUGUGCUGGCAGAUUUGUACAACAAGAAGUUGUUCCAGUGUGAGGAGAGAUGCUUGUCAUAAGAAUAUGGAUGGUUGUGUAACAGUGGUGAAGUGUUUGUUGAUCGAGACUAUCAAUUAUUCAUCUGUGCUGGUAGAUUUGUACAUUUGGAAGUUGUUUCAGUGUGGAGAGAGAUGGACACGGUGUAUUGUACGGUAAACCUUGCUCUUUGAUUUCAUUGGUAAAUCUAUUUUAGCUAGUCUACAACUAGGUAAAGCUAGUCUAUAACUAGGUAAAGCUGGAACGUCGCCAUAUGACCUAUACUGUGUCGGAACGUCGUCAUAUGACCUAUACUGUGUUACAACGUCGCCAUAUGACCUAUACUGUGUCGGUGUGACGUAAAGCCCAUUCAAACAAACAAACAAAACCUGCCCUUGUCUGUCCGUUUUGGGAAAUAUUUUUUCUGCCAAUAAAGGUGGGGAGAUGCCAUAUGACUUAAGAACCAACAAAACAAAUGUGAUUUGUUUAGUUAAAAAGACUUUGUUCAACAAAUAUGAUUGGAAUGUUGUUUUGUUAACCCCAGUGAAAUUUCAGUUAAUCUUAAGACCAAGGAGGCAGAUUUGCAAGAAUGGCAUGAAACAUGGUGAUGAUGGAUGGACGUGUGGAUCGUUAAAGCCCAACAGUGACAGAGUAUUGGAGUACUUGACGUGCAUUGUGAAAGUUGAUCGAUACUAUCAAUUCUUCGAGAGUCCCAGUGCCUAUAUACUCGCAAGAAGGAUAUGGUAUGAAAUACAGCUUGGUACACAUCUGUGCUGGUAGAUUUGUACAUUUGGAAGUUGUUUCAGUGUGGAGAGAGAUGGACACGGUGUAUUGUACGUUAAUCUUAAGACCAAGGAGGCAGAUUUGCAAGAAUGGCAUGAAACAUGGUGAUGAUGGAUGGACGUGUGGAUCGUUAAAGCCCAACAGUGACAGAGUAUUGGAGUACUUGACGUGCAUUGUGAAAGUUGAUCGAUACUAUCAAUUCUUCGAGAGUCCCAGUGCCUAUAUACUCGCAAGAAGGAUAUGGUAUGAAAUACAGCUUGGUACACAUCUGUGCUGGUAGAUUUGUACAUUUGGAAGUUGUUUCAGUGUGGAGAGAGAUGGACACGGUGUAUUGUACGGUAAACCUUGCUCUUUGAUUUCAUUGGUAAAUCUAUUUUAGCUAGUCUACAACUAGGUAAAGCUAGUCUAUAACUAGGUAAAGCUGGAACGUCGCCAUAUGACCUAUACUGUGUCGGAACGUCGCCAUAUGACCUAUACUGUGUAUAUGACCUAUACUGUGUCGGUGUGACGUAAAGUCCAUUCAAACAAACAAACAAAACCUGCCCUUGUCUGUCCGUUUUGGGAAAUAUUUUUUCUGCCAAUAAAGGUGGGGAGAUGUCAUAUGACUUAAGAACCAACAAAACAAAUGUGAUUUGUUUAGUUAAAAAGACUUUGUUCAACAUAUAAUAUAUGAUUUGAAUGUUUUUUGUUAACCCCAGUGAAAUUUCAGUUAAUCUUAAGACCAAGGAGGCAGAUUUGCAAGAAUGGCAUGAAACAUGGUGAUGAUGGAUGGACGUGUGGAUCGUUAAAGCCCAACAGUGACAGAGUAUUGGAGUACUUGACGUGCAUUGUGAAAGUUGAUCGAUACUAUCAAUUCUUCGAGAGUCCCAGUGCCUAUAUACUCGCAAGAAGGAUAUGGUAUGAAAUACAGCUUGGUACACAUCUGUGCUGGUAGAUUUGUACAUUUGGAAGUUGUUUCAGUGUGGAGAGAGAUGGACACGGUGUAUUGUACGUUAAUCUUAAGACCAAGGAGGCAGAUUUGCAAGAAUGGCAUGAAACAUGGUGAUGAUGGAUGGACGUGUGGAUCGUUAAAGCCCAACAGUGACAGAGUAUUGGAGUACUUGACGUGCAUUGUGAAAGUUGAUCGAUACUAUCAAUUCUUCGAGAGUCCCAGUGCCUAUAUACUUGCAAGAAGGAUAUGGUAUGAAAUACAGCUUGGUACACAUCUGUGCUGGUAGAUUUGUACAUUUGGAAGUUGUUUCAGUGUGGAGAGAGAUGGACACGGUGUAUUGUACGGUAAACCUUGCUCUUUGAUUUCAUUGGUAAAUCUAUUUUAGCUAGUCUACAACUAGGUAAAGCUAGUCUAUAACUAGGUAAAGCUGGAACGUCGCCAUAUGACCUAUACUGUGUCGGAACGUCGCCAUAUGACCUAUACUGUGUAUAUGACCUAUACUGUGUCGGUGUGACGUAAAGUCCAUUCAAACAAACAAACAAAACCUGCCCUUGUCUGUCCGUUUUGGGAAAUAUUUUUUCUGCCAAUAAAGGUGGGGGAGAUGUCAUAUGACUUAAGAACCAACAAAACAAAUGUGAUUUGUUUAGUUAAAAAGACUUUGUUCAACAUAUAAUAUAUGAUUGGAAUGUUGUUUUGUUAACCCCAGUGAACUUUCAGUUAAUCUUAAGACCAAGGAGGCAGAUUUGCAAGAAUGGCAUGAAACAUGGUGAUGAUGGAUGGACGUGUGGAUCGUUAAAGCCCAACAGUGACAGAGUAUUGGAGUACUUGACGUGCAUUGUGAAAGUUGAUCGAGACUAUCAAUUCUUCGAGAGUCCCAGUGCCUAUAUACUCGCAAGAAGGAUAUGGUAUGGAAUACAGCUUGGUACACAUCUGUGCUGGUAGAUUUGUACAUUUGGAAGUUGUUUCAGUGUGGAGAGAGAUGGACACGGUGUAUUGUACGGUAAACCUUGCUCUUUGAUUUCAUUGGUAAAUCUAUAAAUAUCUAUUUUAGCUAGUCUACAACUAGGUAAAGCUAGUCUAUAACUAGGUAAAGCUGGAACGUCGCCAUAUGACCUAUACUGUGUCGGAACGUCGCCAUAUGACCUAUACUGUGUCGGUGUGACGUAAAGCCCAAUCAAACAAACAAACAAUACCUGCCCUUGUCUGUCCAUUUUGGGGAAUAUUUUUUCUGCCAAUAAAGGUGGAGAGAUGUCAUAUGACUUAAGAAGCACUUUAACAAAUGUGAUUUGUUGACAAAUGAGAUUGGAAUGUUGUUUUGUUAACCCCAGUGAUCUUUCAGUUAAUCUUAAGACCAAUGAAUGGCAUGAAACAUGGUGUUGAUGGAUGGAUGUGUGAUGAGAUUGGAAUGUUGUUUCGUUAAGGCAAGGCAAGUACAGAACAGAAAGGUAAAAUUAUUAAAAAGAUGUUAUAUUGUAUUUAUAAUAGGGGAAUGAUAUUAUGAACAACAUAAUAUGUUAGAUGAAAUUGAAAUUGUGUAUAUGAAAGUUGAGAGUAAACAUUAUUGAAAGUAACAUUGUAAAUUGUGAAAUGAUCCCUGGUGGAUGACAUGAAGUCAUUAAUGAAAACUGGACAUGGAAGUUUACUGCAGUGAAAAUUAGUGAAAAAUGAAAUGGAAAGUAUCUGUUGAAAUAUGAAAGAAAUGAAUUGAAUCAGCAAUGGGAAAAUACGAAAAGUGAAAGUGAAAAUGAAUGAAAAUAAAUUGAAAAAGGAAGGAAUGCAUGAAAAUUUGAAUUUUAAAAAAAAUUGAGAACAAUAAUGUAAAUAAUAUAGAUAUUAUGAAGAGUUGAAUGAAGAAAUUUGAAAGUGAAAAUAUAAAGAUAGUGAAAAAUGGAAAGUAUCUGUUGAAAUAUGAAUGAAAUAUAAAUGAAGAGCACUAACAAAAGGAAAUGUGAAAGUGAAAAAUGAAUGAAAAUAAAUUGAAAAAGGAGGAAUGCAUGGAAAUUUGAAUUUUCAAAAUAUUGAAUCGGCUUCAAAGAAAUGAAAAAGGAGAACAAUAAUAUAGGAAUUUAUGAAUGAAAUUUGAAAGUGAAAUGAGUUCAUAACGAAAUAAAAAAUGAAUGAAUAAUGUAAUGGAAGAUAAUUUGGUGGUGCAAAGAUCAGACAUGUGAAAAUAUAAAUGAAAUAGAUUUGAAACAAUUGGCUUUUCUUGACUGUAGAAAGUCAAUGAUUGUUGAUUGUCUGCUCCUCCCAUUCAUAGUUCUACCAUGAUGUGGAAGUGCAGACAAUGCAGUUAUUCUAAUUGAUUUUUUUUCUAUUUCAGCUCAAUUUUAUAUUGACCUUUGACUUGACCUUAAUCAAUCUGCAAGUCCUUACCAACCUGACCACCUCAUUUGAUGAUCAUAAGCCAUGGCUUUUCCUAGUUGACCAAUCAACUUUUUUAACUACUUGGCAUAA